UUUCCAUCAUUAUCUUCUAUGGAGUUCUUCAUUCCCGUAUCUGUGGCCCUUAAAAUCCUACGAUUGAGUGCCUGUCUUGGAUCGGCCAUCAGUUCGUUACCUUGGUUCUCAGACGAUGCUUGCAACAACGCAAUGGGAUUCACCCACUCUUGGGCAGAGAAGCCUUCAGAGAAGGAUCCUGACUCGGUGGUUCGUGCAGAGCAGUGACAUUUGGCAGUGUUUGCUCAGCAAAAAAGUCUUGGAGGCUGCCGUCAUGCUGCUCAGCGGGCACACCAAGAACAAGAGCUGGCCAGGGAUGACGGACGCAUCUAGGCCUUCUUGGCCUAAGG
This 329-nucleotide long non-coding RNA is filed under the name Pongo abelii (Sumatran orangutan). Its description in RNAcentral is "lincRNA". Lineage: Eukaryota; Metazoa; Chordata; Mammalia; Primates; Hominidae. The record is from RNAcentral.